GCGGGUGUAGCUCAGUUGGUUAGAGCGCCAGAUUGUGGCUCUGGAGGCCAAGGGUUCGACUCUCUUCAUUCGCCCCA
This 77-nucleotide transfer RNA is filed under the name Clostridia bacterium. RNAcentral describes it as "tRNA-His". It matches the Rfam family "tRNA". Rfam says of the family: Transfer RNA (tRNA) molecules are approximately 80 nucleotides in length. Their secondary structure includes four short double-helical elements and three loops (D, anti-codon, and T loops). Further hydrogen bonds mediate the characteristic L-shaped molecular structure. tRNAs have two regions of fundamental functional importance: the anti-codon, which is responsible for specific mRNA codon recognition, and the 3' end, to which the tRNAs corresponding amino acid is attached (by aminoacyl-tRNA synthetases). tRNAs cope with the degeneracy of the genetic code in two manners: having more than one tRNA (with a specific anti-codon) for a particular amino acid; and 'wobble' base-pairing, i.e. permitting non-standard base-pairing at the 3rd anti-codon position. Lineage: Bacteria; Bacillati; Bacillota; Clostridia. The record is from RNAcentral.